GGAGGAAAGCAGGGGAUCGCAAGACCUUGCGCUCAUUGAGCGGCCGAUGCCUGAUUAGCUAGUUGGUGAGGUAAAGGCUUACCAAGGCGACGAUCAGUAGCUGGUCUGAGAGGACGACCAGCCACACUGGGACUGAGACACGGCCCAGACUCCUACGGGAGGCAGCAGUGGGGAAUUUUGGACAAUGGGGGAAACCCUGAUCCAGCCAUGCCGCGUGAGUGAAGAAGGCCUUCGGGUUGUAAAGCUCUUUCAGCCGGAACGAAACGGUCACGGCUAAUACCUGUGACUACUGACGGUACCGGAAGAAGAAGCACCGGCUAACUACGUGCCAGCAGCCGCGGUAAGAAGUAGGGUGCGAGCGUUAAUCGGAAUUACUGGGCGUAAAGCGUGCGCAGGCGGUUUUGUAAGUCAGAUAAGGAAUCCCCGGGCUUAACCUGGGAACUGCGUUGCAUUAACGUUGCUAGAAGGGC
Molecule: ribosomal RNA, 470 nt
Filed under: uncultured beta proteobacterium
Lineage: Bacteria; Pseudomonadati; Pseudomonadota; Betaproteobacteria
Description: bacterial SSU rRNA
Rfam family: Bacterial small subunit ribosomal RNA
Source: RNAcentral